Molecule: ribosomal RNA, 301 nt
Filed under: uncultured bacterium
Lineage: Bacteria
Description: partial 16S ribosomal RNA
Rfam family: Bacterial small subunit ribosomal RNA
Source: RNAcentral
CAGCAGCCGCGGGAAUACGAAGGGUGCAAGCGUUGAUCGGAAUUACUGGGCGUAAAGCGUGCGUAGGCGGUGAGUUAAGUCUGCUGUGAAAUCCCCGGGCUCAACCUGGGAAUGGCAGUGGAUACUGGCUCGCUAGAGUGUGUCAGAGGAUGGUGGAAUUCCCGGUGUAGCGGUGAAAUGCGUAGAGAUCGGGAGGAACAUCAGUGGCGAAGGCGGCCAUCUGGGACAACACUGACGCUGAGGCACGAAAGCGUGGGGAGCAAACAGGAUUAGAUACCCCUGUAGUCCCUGUCUCUUAUAC